UCUUAGUGUGCCGUCAAAGAGAGAAACGAAUCAAAACCCCUUGAGAGGAGCAGCACUUAAAUCAUUGAGAGUGGAGAAGCUAUAGUUGUACUAGUGCUGGUGGUGUCAUUCGUUCAUUAAAAGAAAGAGAUCGUGAGUCACUGUUUCGUUGUUAUCAUGGUGAUAGGUCAUCCGUGGAGAUUUGAGUGAGAAAGCUGAACCACCAUUGGAUAAUAGAACUUGAUCUAACAAAGAGGACAUGUUAUGACUGGAGAAGAAUAGAAGGAUGGGAAGAGAUCGGUUGUGACGAAGAAAAUGGAAGCGGUGAUGGAGGAGACGUCACGGAUCUUAACCGUUCAUCACCGGAACCAAUGGCUACGGAGACGAGACCGUUCAACGAUGAUGGCAAACCAGUGAUGAGUAUAUUUUGUAGCAGAUCAUAGAUGGUGGUGUUGUGAUCAGUCGAAGGAAAGAAAAAGAAAGAAGAAGAAGAGAAAAGAGGAAAGAGGAAGAACAGUUUCAAGAAUGUUUCUUGCAGGGUGAAUUCCCGACAGACCAGAGGGACUCAGAUAAGG
This 554-nucleotide small RNA is filed under the name Arabidopsis thaliana (thale cress). Its description in RNAcentral is "putative long intergenic non-coding RNA". Lineage: Eukaryota; Viridiplantae; Streptophyta; Magnoliopsida; Brassicales; Brassicaceae. The record is from RNAcentral.